Molecule: unclassified non-coding RNA, 219 nt
Filed under: Hevea brasiliensis (rubber tree)
Lineage: Eukaryota; Viridiplantae; Streptophyta; Magnoliopsida; Malpighiales; Euphorbiaceae
Source: RNAcentral
GUGAUAUAUAAGAUGUUAUCAUAGGUCAAUUUCUGCACAUUGCAUUGAAUUCUCUUUUCUAAUUUGGUCAUAAAUAUGCCAUCCAUUUUAAAAAUAAAGAAUUUAGAAAUAAAAAAUAUCUUCUAAAUUGUCUUAAUGAGUUCAAUUAUGAAAAAUUCUUACCUAAAGUCAAUCUAUCAUGAAUUCAAGUUACAAAUAUAUAGAAUUCAUGUAUUUAAU